This is a non-coding RNA of Leptonychotes weddellii (Weddell seal), 334 nucleotides long. The record is from RefSeq and is a predicted model, not a curated record. NCBI's taxonomy places the organism in Eukaryota, Metazoa, Chordata, Mammalia, Carnivora, Phocidae.
GAGGUUUCUGCACAGAACAAAAUGUCUGCGAGGAUCCUGGAGGGGACCCGCGAUCCCAGACUUCUAGCCCGCCUCUUGCUCCUGCCGCGCUUUGGGGGUGAUGGGCACUGCUGAUGGUUCUUUAGAACUCAGGAUUCAUGCUACAGUGUUGCUACCUGACAACUGACAUUGGCUGGAAACUCUGAGGCAAUGACAGGGACCCCCCAAGGCCCACAGGACAUGGCCUACCAACUAAUUUAAAGGCGCGGCGGAGAGAAUGCGGAGUGACGAGCUGACGGCGCCCAUGGACGACACCGGCGGGCCAGACGACGCGGCGGCGCGGGGCGGCCCGUUC